GGGUUGUGAGGUUAAGCGACUAAGCGUACACGGUGGAUGCCCUGGCAGUCAGAGGCGAUGAAGGGCGUGCUAAUCUGCGAUAAGCGCCGGUAAGGUGAUAUGAACCGUUAUAACCGGCGAUACCCGAAUGGGGAAACCCAGUGUGACUCGUCACACUAUCAUUAACUGAAUCCAUAGGUUAAUGAGGCGAACCGGGGGAACUGAAACAUCUAAGUACCCCGAGGAAAAGAAAUCAACCGAGAUUCCCCCAGUAGCGGCGAGCGAACGGGGAGGAGCCCAGAGCCUGAAUCAGCAUGUGUGUUAGUGGAAGCGUCUGGAAAGGCGCGCGAUACAGGGUGACAGCCCCGUACACAAAAGCGCAUGUGCUGUGAGCUCGAUGAGUAGGGCGGGACACGUGGUAUCCUGUCUGAAUAUGGGGGGACCAUCCUCCAAGGCUAAAUACUCCUGACUGACCGAUAGUGAACCAGUACCGUGAGGGAAAGGCGAAAAGAACCCCGGCGAGGGGAGUGAAAAAGAACCUGAAACCGUGUACGUACAAGCAGUGGGAGCACCCUUUGGGGUGUGACUGCGUACCUUUUGUAUAAUGGGUCAGCGACUUAUAUUCUGUAGCAAGGUUAACCGAAUAGGGGAGCCGGAGGGAAACCGAGUCUUAAUUGGGCGUUAAGUUGCAGGGUAUAGACCCGAAACCCGGUGAUCUAGCCAUGGGCAGGUUGAAGGUUGGGUAACACUAACUGGAGGACCGAACCGACUAAUGUUGAAAAAUUAGCGGAUGACCUGUGGCUGGGGGUGAAAGGCCAAUCAAACCGGGAGAUAGCUGGUUCUCCCCGAAAGCUAUUUAGGUAGCGCCUCGUGAAUUCAUCUCCGGGGGUAGAGCACUGUUUCGGCUAGGGGGCCAUCCCGGCUUACCAACCCGAUGCAAACUGCGAAUACCGGAGAAUGUUAUCACGGGAGACACACGGCGGGUGCUAACGUCCGUCGUGAAGAGGGAAACAACCCAGACCGCCAGCUAAGGUCCCAAAGUCAUGGUUAAGUGGGAAACGAUGUGGGAAGGCCCAGACAGCCAGGAUGUUGGCUUAGAAGCAGCCAUCAUUUAAAGAAAGCGUAAUAGCUCACUGGUCGAGUCGGCCUGCGCGGAAGAUGUAACGGGGCUAAACCAUGCACCGAAGCUGCGGCAGCGACACUCAGGUGUUGUUGGGUAGGGGAGCGUUCUGUAAGCCUGUGAAGGUGGCCUGUGAGGGUUGCUGGAGGUAUCAGAAGUGCGAAUGCUGACAUAAGUAACGAUAAAGCGGGUGAAAAGCCCGCUCGCCGGAAGACCAAGGGUUCCUGUCCAACGUUAAUCGGGGCAGGGUGAGUCGACCCCUAAGGCGAGGCCGAAAGGCGUAGUCGAUGGGAAACGGGUUAAUAUUCCCGUACUUGGUGUUACUGCGAAGGGGGGACGGAGAAGGCUAUGUUGGCCGGGCGACGGUUGUCCCGGUUUAAGCGUGUAGGCUGGUUUUCCAGGCAAAUCCGGAAAAUCAAGGCUGAGGCGUGACGACGAGGCACUACGGUGCUGAAGCAACAAAUGCCCUGCUUCCAGGAAAAGCCUCUAAGCAUCAGGUAACAUCAAAUCGUACCCCAAACCGACACAGGUGGUCAGGUAGAGAAUACCAAGGCGCUUGAGAGAACUCGGGUGAAGGAACUAGGCAAAAUGGUGCCGUAACUUCGGGAGAAGGCACGCUGACAUGUAGGUGAAGUGAUUUACUCAUGGAGCUGAAGUCAGUCGAAGAUACCAGCUGGCUGCAACUGUUUAUUAAAAACACAGCACUGUGCAAACACGAAAGUGGACGUAUACGGUGUGACGCCUGCCCGGUGCCGGAAGGUUAAUUGAUGGGGUCAGCGCAAGCGAAGCUCCUGAUCGAAGCCCCGGUAAACGGCGGCCGUAACUAUAACGGUCCUAAGGUAGCGAAAUUCCUUGUCGGGUAAGUUCCGACCUGCACGAAUGGCGUAAUGAUGGCCAGGCUGUCUCCACCCGAGACUCAGUGAAAUUGAACUCGCUGUGAAGAUGCAGUGUACCCGCGGCAAGACGGAAAGACCCCGUGAACCUUUACUAUAGCUUGACACUGAACAUUGAGCCUUGAUGUGUAGGAUAGGUGGGAGGCUUUGAAGUGUGGACGCCAGUCUGCAUGGAGCCGGCCUUGAAAUACCACCCUUUAAUGUUUGAUGUUCUAACGUGGACCCGUAAUCCGGGUUGCGGACAGUGUCUGGUGGGUAGUUUGACUGGGGCGGUCUCCUCCUAAAGAGUAACGGAGGAGCACGAAGGUUGGCUAAUCCUGGUCGGACAUCAGGAGGUUAGUGCAAUGGCAUAAGCCAGCUUGACUGCGAGCGUGACGGCGCGAGCAGGUGCGAAAGCAGGUCAUAGUGAUCCGGUGGUUCUGAAUGGAAGGGCCAUCGCUCAACGGAUAAAAGGUACUCCGGGGAUAACAGGCUGAUACCGCCCAAGAGUUCAUAUCGACGGCGGUGUUUGGCACCUCGAUGUCGGCUCAUCACAUCCUGGGGCUGAAGUAGGUCCCAAGGGUAUGGCUGUUCGCCAUUUAAAGUGGUACGCGAGCUGGGUUUAGAACGUCGUGAGACAGUUCGGUCCCUAUCUGCCGUGGGCGCUGGAGAACUGAGGGGGGCUGCUCCUAGUACGAGAGGACCGGAGUGGACGCAUCACUGGUGUUCGGGUUGUCAUGCCAAUGGCACUGCCCGGUAGCUAAAUGCGGAAGAGAUAAGUGCUGAAAGCAUCUAAGCACGAAACUUGCCCCGAGAUGAGUUCUCCCUGAGACUUUAGGUCUCCUGAAGGAACGUUGAAGACGACGACGUUGAUAGGCCGGGUGUGUAAGCGCAGCGAUGCGUUGAGCUAACCGGUACUAAUGAACCGUGAGGCUUAACCUUACAACGCCGAAG
Molecule: ribosomal RNA, 2925 nt
Filed under: Salmonella enterica subsp. enterica serovar Abaetetuba str. ATCC 35640
Lineage: Bacteria; Pseudomonadati; Pseudomonadota; Gammaproteobacteria; Enterobacterales; Enterobacteriaceae
Description: bacterial LSU rRNA
Rfam family: Bacterial large subunit ribosomal RNA
Source: RNAcentral